GAUCCUGGCUCAGAUUGAACGCUGGCGGCAGGCCUAACACAUGCAAGUCGAACGGUAACAGGAAACAGCUUGCUGUUUCGCUGACGAGUGGCGGACGGGUGAGUAAUGUCUGGGAAACUGCCUGAUGGAGGGGGAUAACUACUGGAAACGGUAGCUAAUACCGCAUAACGUCGCAAGACCAAAGAGGGGGGACCUUCGGGCCUCUUGCCAUCGGAUGUGCCCAGAUGGGAUUAGCUUGUUGGUGGGUAACGG
Molecule: ribosomal RNA, 252 nt
Filed under: uncultured bacterium
Lineage: Bacteria
Description: partial 16S ribosomal RNA
Rfam family: Bacterial small subunit ribosomal RNA
Source: RNAcentral